This 666-nucleotide non-coding RNA is filed under the name Pongo abelii (Sumatran orangutan). Lineage: Eukaryota; Metazoa; Chordata; Mammalia; Primates; Hominidae. The record is from RNAcentral.
GCCAAUCAGCGGAAGCCGCCGGGGCCGCCUAAAGAAGAGGCUGUGCUCCGGCGCUCCGGCUCCUCAGAGAGCCUCGGCUAGCUGGGAUUCUAUCCCUGACCCUCUUCACAGUCCAGGUGAUCUUGACUACUGCUUUACAGAGAAUUGGAUCUGAGAUGUGGAAACAGCAAGAGAACUAGAAUUGGAAGUAAAGCGUUGAAGAUGUGACUGAAUUGCUGCAAUCUCAUGAUCAAAUUUGAAUGGAUGAGGAGUUGCUUCUUAGGGAUAAGCUAAGAAAGUGGUUUCUUGAGAUGGAAUCUACUGGUGAAGUUGCUAUGAACAUUGUUAAAAUGACAAAGAUUUAGGAAUUACAGAAACCUGGUUGAUAAAGCAGUGCAAGGGUGUGAGAGAGUUGACUUCAAUUUUGAAAUAAGUUCCACUGGCUGAGUGUGGUGGCUCACACCUGCAAUCCCAGUACUUUGAGAGGCCGAGGCUGAUAGAUCACUUGAGGUCAGGAGUUCAAGACCAGCCUGGCCAACAUGGUGAAACCCCACCUCUACCAAAUUAGCCAGAUGUGGUACACACCUGUAGUCCCAGCUACUUGGGAAGCUGAGGCAGGAGAACCUCUUGAACCAGGGAGGAGGAGGUUGCAGUGAGCCGAGAUGGCACCCCUGCACUCCAGCCUGG